GCUAUAUAUGCACCCUUUGGGUGUUCAAAACGUCAUAUCCCACAUCACAGCAGUCAACAAUUGUUAAGUAUUCAUGCCAGCUGAAUGUAGAAGCCAUUGAACCACAGUCUGGUAAAUAAAGAGAUCUUCCUCUGUUUUGAUUUGCUUAUGCACAAGUGUGUAUUUUUCAGUGGCAAUCAGCAGUGUCCUUGGAAAGUUGGGUUGUGCUAUUAAAGCGUCCACAAGCGUCAACAAGUUGUACACAUAUUUUUAAGUUGAAAAAAAAGAUGUUCACAGUUCUCAGUGGGCUCCUAAUUAAAUUUUUUUUUCCAACGUAUAACAAUAUUUAAAAUUAUGUUUAAAAGUUUACCUUUAGGCAAAAAAGUGCAACAAUGGUGCCGUUUUUUCAGCGAAACUGACCGCUAUCCUGUUUUUCUGGGAUAUGUUAUGUGCAAAACCAUGUGCAAAACAAAUUGCCGCCGAAAAAAAAGGACCGUAAAUUGUUGAGCUAAAAGAUCCUUUUUUUUUGUGGGAUUGUGAACGUGAAUUUCUCCUAUUUCUUACGUAAUACAAGUAUGAAAGUCUAUUGAAUAUGAUUAUAGCUUUUUUGAAGCUCAAAAGUACAUUUUGAGCUCGUUUAUGUUUUGUUGGCACUAAUCGUGUUUGUUGAUGCUUGUUGACGCUUAUUAGCAUGACCGGACUGCUUAGUACUUACUGUACUAAGGAAACCAGGGUUUCGCGUGAAGAUUUUUGGAGAUUCGAUUACCAGAUUCCCGCCCCAUUAUCUCGACUUGUUUGUUCCAGAAUUAUUACAAAACCAGAGAGCACCAUUUUGCGUCUCGCGAAACCUUGCUCAAGACAUUUCACUUUUAGUGAUGAGCCGCAUCUUGUACAGGCUGAUGACCAGGCGCAGAUGCAUCGAAUGUCAGCCUGAACAUGCUGAAGUGCCACCUCCGUGUGCUCCACUUGAAGUGGUAGACCCUCAUCAACACCCUGAAUCCCCCAGAUGCCCCCGCCUUCAAAAAUGCCACCUACUGCCAAGUCUCCAAAGGAUUCUGCAAGCUUCAUCAAGACAAGUGAGACGCCACAAGAUGCCAUCCAAGUCAGCCGUAAAGAUGAAGCUGUCUCGAUAUAAAAUAUACUUGGAUGGAGACGAGGAAGAAAAUGAUUUUUUUUGUAGGUGUAUUGGGUUUUCUCGAAAGGUGUUUCCCACCCAUGCUCUUCCAAUAUCUCCUCAGUCAGUCUGCAGCAAUUUCAUACCUUACUUGCUUUCUCCUUCAUCAUUUCCAAGUGUUGCGUCUCUCCAUCCACUCCAGCUACACACCAGAAAAGUCUAGGGAAAAAAAUUAAUCUCUGUGUGCAUUUUACGCUUUUAAACAGUGUAGGCCUAGAGCAAUUUCCUCUCACAAUUUUUUGAUGUUUUUAAUACUUGUUUUUCAGUUGAUUAUAAAGAGGACAUCUAUGAUUUCCCACUUUGUAAAAUUCAUUAAAAGUUAUUGUGAAAGCAA
Molecule: long non-coding RNA, 1487 nt
Organism: Patiria miniata (bat star)
Lineage: Eukaryota; Metazoa; Echinodermata; Asteroidea; Valvatida; Asterinidae
Exons: 2
Source: RefSeq, a predicted model, not a curated record